Molecule: non-coding RNA, 315 nt
Organism: Odocoileus virginianus texanus
Lineage: Eukaryota; Metazoa; Chordata; Mammalia; Artiodactyla; Cervidae
Source: RefSeq, a predicted model, not a curated record
AAGAGAGCUGGCCUCUUACAUUCCUGUCUCAUCAAAUCUGUGGUAAUGGGUUUCCAGCAUCCCCUGAUGAGGAAGCUCCUAUCAACCAAGGCCAGGCCUCAAGUGAAAGAAAGAUAUGAGUCCUUAGAAGCUAAUACCUACACAGCGGACAAUUGGGACCUGCAGGUUCAAAUUCAUACUGUACCAGGGCGUAAGCUCCUUGAGGAAGGAAAAUCAGUGCCAAAAACCUGGUGAUUUGGUGCUGUCAACUGAUUCCUGAUGUUGAAGAGGAUGGAACAAAAGCAGAAAUAAAAAUGCAAUUUCAUUUAUUACUCA